UACGUAGGGUGCAAGCGUUGUCCGGAAUUAUUGGGCGUAAAGAGCUCGUAGGCGGUCUGUCGCGUCUGCUGUGAAAACUCGGGGCUUAACCCCGGGCCUGCAGUGGGUACGGGCAGACUAGAGUGCGGUAGGGGAGACUGGAAUUCCUGGUGUAGCGGUGAAAUGCGCAGAUAUCAGGAGGAACACCGGUGGCGAAGGCGGGUCUCUGGGCCGUAACUGACGCUGAGGAGCGAAAGCGUGAGGAGCGAACAGG
This 253-nucleotide ribosomal RNA is filed under the name uncultured bacterium. RNAcentral describes it as "partial 16S ribosomal RNA". It matches the Rfam family "Bacterial small subunit ribosomal RNA", at positions 524 to 776 of the family's 1533-position model. The record is from RNAcentral.